Ictalurus punctatus (channel catfish) is the source of this 2005-nucleotide long non-coding RNA. RefSeq lists it as uncharacterized. Lineage: Eukaryota; Metazoa; Chordata; Actinopteri; Siluriformes; Ictaluridae. The record is from RefSeq and is a predicted model, not a curated record. The transcript has 3 exons.
GUGUGUGUGUGUGUGUGUGUGGGUGGGUGGGUGGGUGUAGUCCAUGGCAGCCAUGUUUGUAAGCCGCAGUGCUGGAUGGGAAAUGUAGUCACUGAUUUGCUGUGAUAUAACAAUUUUACUUCUCAUGAUGUGUUCAUAAGACAUUCUCUCACAAAAGAGAAUCUCAUGCUAUUGAAGCAGAAGUGCAUUAACCAACUACUAAAUACAUUUGUUUCAUGUCACCAUUUAUAUUCUUACUGUUCUGAAUUUUUUUAGAUCAAAGGUGGCUAUGGAUAUAAACUUAUUGUCUGUAGCAUCCUGCCUUACCAACAGCCUAAAACAGCUUAAAUCAGAUUUAGAUUUACAAUACUUACUGGGGUCAAUUUCAGCUAUUUUCUGGGUGGGGUUUCCUCCAGGUUUUCUAGUAUCUUCCCACCUCCAAGAAACAUGCCAGAAGAAACAUGAAAGAAACAUGCCAGUAGGUGGAACUGCUAGGGUAAAUUGCCCCUAGGUGAGAAUGUGUGUCUGGUGCUCUGUGAUGGACUGGCAUCCUAUUCAGUGUGGGAACAGUGUGCCAGUGGUAUAGCCCCUAAGAUAUUUCUUUUACAGUCCUGCCAUAAGCCAUAUCAAUGAAGGUGGACACAGGUUUGAAAGGAUCCUGGUAUUAAAGCACGAAAAUACACUUUGUUUAUAUAACUUUCUGCCUGCCACAUAUGUAGGAUAGUCAUAAAAUAAUGUUUGAACCUUCUUGCAAGAUACGACUCAACCAGAAUAGCAGCAUAGCCAGCCAUCUACAACACACAAGACUCCAUGCCACUCUGCCCCAAGGGUGCAAAGCUACAAAGAUAAGACUGUAUCUUCAAGAAAACUUGGACAAUGAGAUAGAAUGUUAUCCGAGAACACAAAUGAUUAUUUUGGUAGCCAAAUAUUUCAUGAAAAACAUUGUAUUUUUAUGCAAAAAGUUGUCCAUGAAGUUCUGAGAUUUGCUAGUGGGGGAGAGUAAGAUAUGGCUGAAGGAUUUGAGUCCAAUGCAGGACUCAAGACACUUUCUGUAUUGACUUGGACUUGUCACAGACUUGCUGGCAUUUGUACUCAGACCAAGGUUUGUAAAAUAAUGUUUUGUUGUUAUUGUUGUAAUUAAAUUUUUACUAGGGAUUUAAUUUUUACUUAAAUUCUUAGUGUGGCUUUUGUUCCAUGGAGCACACUACUGACUGUUAACAAGACAUAGGGUAUUGUGGCUAUGUAGAUGUUUGAUGCUAAGCUGGUGGCAUUGUGUUUCUUUUACUGCUGUAAAAAUUUUGACACAUUUGGGAGUAUCUGGCCAACAGGGCAUGAAUUAUUUGAAUGUGACAUUGACCCCUUUGUCAGUCACGUCUGACCAGAAGAGAGGGCACUGGAAAUAGUGUGCGAGUCUGCGGAAGCGCAGAAAGAGAGCUGGCAUUCGUGCUACGCUAAAGGCUAACCCAAGCCAUCCAUCUGUACCAUCCAGAGUUUGCUCUCUUGACAAUAAAUUGGACUUACUCAGUCUACAGCUAACUGCCCACUGUGAAAUCAGGGACUGCUGUGUUUUCAUUUUUGUGGAUACAUGGCUCAACGACCACAUUCCGGAUGCAGCCAUUCAGCUAGCCAGGUACAGUGCCUUGGAUAAGUAUCGACCCUCUUGAACUUUUCAACUUUUUGCAGUGAAUUUGACAUUUUACUCAACCUGUUGACUUUUAAAUUUGGGCAAAAUCAUGGUGGAACAGGCUGUCGCUCCAACAGAGGAUUUUGUCUACAAAUUUUAUUCCUAUGCUGGAACUGAAAGACAUGAAGCCGUCAUGAAUGCACAGGCUAAGGGAGAAUAAUCAAAUCAAAGGUCAGGAUUUCUGCACAGAGACUCACAUGAAUUUGUGACACAUGAUAACUGAAGAUAUGGUUGUGUACCUAAUGUGCAGAACAACCUGUUUAAUCUGGAAUUUCCUUGCAAGUCCUUUGAUUCCUGUAUGUGAUGUUCACAGAGGUAAGGUAUGUGGCUUUUAUUUUCUUU